GCGUGCGUCAGUACGUGCAAGUAGAGCGAACUCUGAUGGAUGAGCAUGGCAGUACGUGAGGGUCUGCGGGCGGACGGGGUGAGUAACACGUAGUCAACUCUGCCGUCAUGACUGGGAUAAGUACCGGAAAUCGGUAGAAUAAGACCGGUAUAAUUUAUUUUGCAGCAUUGUGGAAAUAAUGAAGAGGCGGUAGCAAUCUGUCACCAUAGGAUGGGCCCUGCGGGGGCAUUAGCUAGUUGGUGGGGUAACGGCUCACCUAAGGCGACGAUGCGUAGCUGGACCUGAGAGGGUGAACGGCCACACUGGGACUGAGACACGGUCCAGACUCCUACGGGAGGCAGCAGUAGGGAAUAUUCCGCAAUGGGCGCAAGCCUGACGGAGCAACGCCGCGUGAGUGAUGAAGGCUUUCGGAUCGUAAAGUUCUGUUGCCAAGGAAGAACGUCUUAAAGAGUAACCUUAGGAGAGUGACGGUACUUGAGAAGAAAGCCCCGGCUAACUACGUGCCAGCAGCCGCGGUAAUACGUAGGGGGCAAGCGUUGUCCGGAAUUAUUGGGCGUAAAGCGCGCGCAGGCGGUUCUUUAAGUCUGGUGUUUAAACCCGAGGCUCAACUUCGGGUCGCAAUGGAAAAUGGGCAACUUGAGUUCUGAAGAGGGGAGUGGAAUUUCCCGUGGAGCGGUGAAAUGGGUAGAUAUUUGGAGGAACACCAGUGGGGAAGGGGACUCUCUGGGCUGUAAAUGACGCUGAGGCGCGAAAGCGGUGGGAGCAAACCGGAUUAGAUACCCUGGUAGUUCCCGCCGUAAACGAUGAUUGAUAGGUGUUAGGGGCCUCGAUACCCUUGGUGCCGAAGCUAACACAUUAAGCAUACCGCUGGAGAG
Molecule: ribosomal RNA, 875 nt
Filed under: Paenibacillus sp.
Lineage: Bacteria; Bacillati; Bacillota; Bacilli; Caryophanales; Paenibacillaceae
Description: bacterial SSU rRNA
Rfam family: Bacterial small subunit ribosomal RNA
Source: RNAcentral